ACAGAGGUCACAAGCGUUAUCCGGAUUUAUUGGGCGUAAAGCGUUUCGUAGGUGAUUUGUUAAGUUGCUCUUCAAAGACCAAGGCUCAACCUCGGGAAGGGGAGUAAGACUGACAGAAUUGAAUUGUGGUGGGGUUUCUGGAACUGGUGGUGUAGUAGUGAAAUACGUUGAUAUCAUCAGGAACUCCAAGGGCGAAGGCAGGAAACUAACCAUAUAUUGACACUGAGGAACGACAGCUAGGGGAGCGAAAGGGAUUAGAGACCCCUGUAGUCCUAGCCGUAAACUAUGCUCGCUAGGGAUUGGCAUUUAUGCCUAGUCCCGUAAGCUAACGCGUUAAGCGAGCCGCCUGGGGAGUACGACCGCAAGGUUA
RNAcentral lists this ribosomal RNA (370 nucleotides) under uncultured bacterium. Its description in RNAcentral is "bacterial SSU rRNA". It matches the Rfam family "Bacterial small subunit ribosomal RNA", at positions 525 to 896 of the family's 1533-position model. The record is from RNAcentral.